Schistocerca piceifrons (Central American locust) is the source of this 136-nucleotide small nuclear RNA. RefSeq annotates it as U4atac minor spliceosomal RNA. NCBI's taxonomy places the organism in Eukaryota, Metazoa, Arthropoda, Insecta, Orthoptera, Acrididae. The record is from RefSeq and is a predicted model, not a curated record. The transcript has a single exon.
CCAAUCCUUGUCUGGGAGAGCAAAAUGCCCAAUGAACGUCUAGUGAGAGCAUUGCUGCUAACACCCAUUUACAAAAAAAAAACCUGGGGUCAGUUCUCAGCGGGACACAUCAGCAGAGGCAGCAUUUUCCUGAAGA